GACGAACGCUGGCGGCGUGCUUAACACAUGCAAGUCGAACGGAAAGGCCCUGCUUGCAGGGUACUCGAGUGGCGAACGGGUGAGUAACACGUGGGUGAUCUGCCCUGCACUUCGGGAUAAGCCUGGGAAACUGGGUCUAAUACCGGAUAGGAGCCAUUUUUAGUGUGAUGGUUGGAAAGUUUUUUCGGUGUAGGAUGAGCUCGCGGCCUAUCAGCUUGUUGGUGGGGUAAUGGCCUACCAAGGCGGCGACGGGUAGCCGGCCUGAGGGGGUGGACGGCCACAUUGGGACUGAGAUACGGCCCAGACUCCUACGGGAGGCAGCAGUGGGGAAUAUUGCACAAUGGGCGCAAGCCUGAUGCAGCGACGCCGCGUGGGGGAUGACGGCCUUCGGGUUGUAAACUCCUUUCGCUAGGGACGAAGCUUUUUGUGACGGUACCUAGAUAAGAAGCACCGGCUAACUACGUG
This 465-nucleotide ribosomal RNA is filed under the name uncultured bacterium. Its description in RNAcentral is "partial 16S ribosomal RNA". It matches the Rfam family "Bacterial small subunit ribosomal RNA", at positions 28 to 507 of the family's 1533-position model. The record is from RNAcentral.